CUACGGGGUGCUCCAGUGGGGAAUAUUGGGCAAUGGGCGAAAGCCUGACCCAGCAACGCCGCGUGAUUGAAGAAGGCUUUCGGGUUGUAAAAAUCUGUCCUUGGGGACGAAGAAGUGACGGUACCCAAGGAGGAAGCCCCGGCUAACUACGUGCCAGCAGCCGCGGUAAUACGUAGGGGGCGAGCGUUGUCCGGAAUUACUGGGCGUAAAGGGUGCGCAGGCGGCGCUUUAAGUCAGAUGUGAAAUACCCAUGCUUAACGUGGGGGGUGCAUUUGAAACUGGAGCGCUUGAGUGCAGGAGGGAAAGUGGAAUUCCUAGUGUAGCGGUGAAAUGCGUAGAUAUUAGGAGGAACACCAGUGGCGAAGGCGACUUUCUGGACUGUAACUGACGCUGAGGCACGAAAGCGUGGGGAGCAAACAGGAUUAGAUACCCUUGUAGUC
RNAcentral lists this ribosomal RNA (440 nucleotides) under uncultured bacterium. RNAcentral's name for it is "partial 16S ribosomal RNA". It matches the Rfam family "Bacterial small subunit ribosomal RNA", at positions 339 to 795 of the family's 1533-position model. The record is from RNAcentral.